GUAAUGUCUGGGAAACUGCCUGAUGGAGGGGGAUAACUACUGGAAACGGUGGCUAAUACCGCAUAACGUCGCAAGACCAAAGAGGGGGACCUUCGGGCCUCUUGCCAUCAGAUGUGCCCAGAUGGGAUUAGCUAGUUGGUGAGGUAACGGCUCACCAAGGCGACGAUCCCUAGCUGGUCUGAGAGGAUGACCAGCCACACUGGAACUGAGACACGGUCCAGACUCCUACGGGAGGCAGCAGUGGGGAAUAUUGCACAAUGGGCGCAAGCCUGAUGCAGCCAUGCCGCGUGUAUGAAGAAGGCCUUCGGGUUGUAAAGUACUUUCAGCGGGGAGGAAGGUGUUGUGGUUAAUAACCGCAGCAAUUGACGUUACCCGCAGAAGAAGCACCGGCUAACUCCGUGCCAGCAGCCGCGGUAAUACGGAGGGUGCAAGCGUUAAUCGGAAUUACUGGGCGUAAAGCGCACGCAGGCGGUCUGUCAAGUCGGAUGUGAAAUCCCCGGGCUCAACCUGGGAACUGCAUUCGAAACUGGCAGGCUUGAGUCUUGUAGAGGGGGGUAGAAUUCCAGGUGUAGCGGUGAAAUGCGUAGAGAUCUGGAGGAAUACCGGUGGCGAAGGCGGCCCCCUGGACAAAGACUGACGCUCAGGUGCGAAAGCGUGGGGAGCAAACAGGAUUAGAUACCCUGGUAGUCCACGCCGUAAACGAUGUCUACUUGGAGGUUGUGCCCUUGAGGCGUGGCUUCCGGAGCUAACGCGUUAAGUAGACCGCCUGGGGAGUACGGCCGCAAGGUUAAAACUCAAAUGAAUUGACGGGGGCCCGCACAAGCGGUGGAGCAUGUGGUUUAAUUCGAUGCAACGCGAAGAACCUUACCUGGUCUUGACAUCCACAGAACUUUCCAGAGAUGGAUUGGUGCCUUCGGGAACUGUGAGACAGGUGCUGCAUGGCUGUCGUCAGCUCGUGUUGUGAAAUGUUGGGUUAAGUCCCGCAACGAGCGCAACCCUUAUCCUUUGUUGCCAGCGGUCCGG
Molecule: ribosomal RNA, 1023 nt
Filed under: Salmonella enterica subsp. enterica serovar Muenchen
Lineage: Bacteria; Pseudomonadati; Pseudomonadota; Gammaproteobacteria; Enterobacterales; Enterobacteriaceae
Description: bacterial SSU rRNA
Rfam family: Bacterial small subunit ribosomal RNA
Source: RNAcentral